Molecule: non-coding RNA, 204 nt
Organism: Triticum urartu
Lineage: Eukaryota; Viridiplantae; Streptophyta; Magnoliopsida; Poales; Poaceae
Source: RefSeq, a predicted model, not a curated record
CUUCUAUGUAGGAAGAUAUGGAAGCGAACCAAGCCCCCAAAAAGAAAAGAAAGGCACCCUCCAGCGCACCUGUAAGCGCGAAUGAAGGACGUGUUUUGAGGUCUAGGGUAUCAAAAGAUCAAGAUCAUGUUGAUCUUGAGCAUCAGCCUUCCAAAGAGAUUACUCGUGAGCUUGAUGGUGAUGGUAGUCAAAAGAAAGGUGGAA